Molecule: ribosomal RNA, 225 nt
Filed under: uncultured bacterium
Lineage: Bacteria
Description: partial 16S ribosomal RNA
Rfam family: Bacterial small subunit ribosomal RNA
Source: RNAcentral
GAUCAUGGCUCAGGAUGAACGCUAGCUACAGGCUUAACACAUGCAAGUCGAGGGGCAGCAUGGUCUUAGCUUGCUAAGGCCGAUGGCGACCGGCGCACGGGUGAGUAACGCGUAUCCAACCUGCCUUACACUCUUGGACAGCCUUCUGAAAGGAAGAUUAAUACAAGAUGUUAUCAUGAGUAAGCAUUUUCGCAUGAUUAAAGAUUUAUCGGUGAUGGAUGGGGA